This 200-nucleotide ribosomal RNA is filed under the name Aetomylaeus bovinus (bull ray). Its description in RNAcentral is "partial small subunit ribosomal RNA". Lineage: Eukaryota; Metazoa; Chordata; Chondrichthyes; Myliobatiformes; Myliobatidae. The record is from RNAcentral.
UGGUAAAUCUCGUGCCAGCCACCGCGGUUAUACGAGCGACACAAAUUAAUACUUCACGGCGUUAAGGGUGAUUAGAGAUAAUCUUAUACUAAAUAAAGUUAAGACCCCAUCAAGCUGUCAUACGCUUCUAUGCUUAAAAAUAUCACUCACGAAAGUAACUUUACACAAACAGAAUUUUUGACCUCACGACAGUUAAGACC